RNAcentral lists this transfer RNA (54 nucleotides) under Loxodonta africana (African savanna elephant). It matches the Rfam family "tRNA", at positions 10 to 63 of the family's 71-position model. From Rfam's summary of the family: Transfer RNA (tRNA) molecules are approximately 80 nucleotides in length. Their secondary structure includes four short double-helical elements and three loops (D, anti-codon, and T loops). The record is from Rfam by way of RNAcentral. Lineage: Eukaryota; Metazoa; Chordata; Mammalia; Proboscidea; Elephantidae.
GUUCAGUGGUAGAACGCUUACCUUCCAUGUAAGAGACCUAGGUUUGAUUCCUGG